Molecule: ribosomal RNA, 442 nt
Filed under: uncultured bacterium
Lineage: Bacteria
Description: partial 16S ribosomal RNA
Rfam family: Bacterial small subunit ribosomal RNA
Source: RNAcentral
CCUACGGGUGGCAGCAGUGGGGGAUAUUGGACAAUGGGGGGAACCCUGAUCCAGCGACGCCGCGUGAGUGAAGAAGUAUUUCGGUAUGUAAAGCUCUGUCAGCAGGGAAGAAAGAAAUGACGGUACCUGACCAAGAAGCCCCGGCUAACUACGUGCCAGCAGCCGCGGUAAUACGUAGGGGGCAAGCGUUAUCCGGAAUUAUUGGGUUUAAAGGGUGCGUAGGCGGGAUGCCAAGUCAGCGGUAAAAAUGCGGUGCUCAACGCCGUCGGGCCGUUGAAACUGGCGUUCUUGAGUGGGCGAGAAGUAGGCGGAAUGCGUGGUGUAGCGGUGAAAUGCAUAGAUAUCACGCAGAACUCCGAUUGCGAAGGCAGCAUACCGGCGCGCAACUGACGCUCAUGCACGAAAGCGUGGGUAUCGAACAGGAUUAGAUACCCGAGUAGUC